RNAcentral lists this long non-coding RNA (219 nucleotides) under Manihot esculenta (cassava). Its description in RNAcentral is "long non-coding RNA (MESC_LNC007278)". Lineage: Eukaryota; Viridiplantae; Streptophyta; Magnoliopsida; Malpighiales; Euphorbiaceae. The record is from RNAcentral.
UACCAUAUCAUCAUCAUAUCAUAUCAUACGAGGACUAAAGGAUCAUCCAAUACCCAUCCACAUCAUCAUCAUAUUAUGCAAUGCAACAUAUUCGUGAAUUCUAAUGCAAACAUCCUAAUAUAUCUCAUGGCAUUCGUGAUGCAUGAACAUGCUCAAAAACUGAUCUAUUUGCUUUGAAACAUAAAGAGUUAUUCUACUCACCUCAGGCUAGCUCUGAAA